UUAUAAAAUAUUGAGAAUAUUUUGCUAAUAAAAUCAAGAGAUACAUUUUACUUAUUUUUUUAAAGGAAACCAGUGCAAUUAUCAGCCUUAAUUUGAGAAACAAAUUAAGCUGAUAAAAUUGAGGAAAGAUGGCUUCAUGUUUAUUUUAAGAAAAUUGACUCAAUUAUGUGGAUUUGAUUGAGAUGUUUGCAGUUGAAUCUCAACAAUGGCAGUGACCUGAUGACAUUUUGAAGGAGCAGAUCAACAGUGAGCAUGAUAAGAGAUUAAUGAAAAAAAUGUUUACUGUAUUUUCCUACAAAAGAGGAGCAGUUUAUGGGUGCUAUACAGCAGAGGAAGAGCUCAUUCAGGAGUGCAAAUGUGGGAAUGCACAGAGAAUUGCUGUCUGCAAGAGGGAUGACCAACCAUGAGGACUUCUGCAUUGUAUUGGAUGAUGAGUGAGUCAUGGCUGGCUUGGAAAAUCUAGAAUUGCUGAACUGGAUUUAUACAAGUAUUCCCCAAAUUAAAAUCACCUUAAAACAAACUUAUAAGUUUCUGACACAAAAUCAAUGUUACAAACUUUUGGGGAAUUUUCACUACAUUGACUGAUUGUGUUGCUAUUAUUUUAAGAUACAGCUUUUAUACUGGUUUUAUAUGUUGUGCAAUUCUCUCAGAGUUUGUCUAAAAUGUGAAUAUUCCUACAAAAGAAAGUUGACAGAGCAUUUUUUUCCUUGACAUGGAUAAAGGACUUUUUUUCAGAGCUUAACAUUGCUGUAAAUUUUAAAUAGAUAUGUUUUAACAAAUUGUAUGUACCAUUUUGUUAUCAGUGGAACAUGUAAUAAAAUAUAUUUGUCAAAAAAUG
This 838-nucleotide long non-coding RNA is filed under the name Danio rerio (zebrafish). Its description in RNAcentral is "uncharacterized LOC100535539 (LOC100535539)". Lineage: Eukaryota; Metazoa; Chordata; Actinopteri; Cypriniformes; Danionidae. The record is from RNAcentral.